GAUCCUAGCUCAGGAUGAACGCUGGCGGCGUGCUUAACACAUGCAAGUCGAACGAAGCGCUUAAAUGGAUUUCUUCGGAUUGAAGUUUUUGUGACUGAGUGGCGGACGGGUGAGUAACGCGUGGGUAACCUGCCUCAUACAGGGGGAUAACAGUUAGAAAUGACUGCUAAUACCGCAUAAGCGCACGGUGCUGCAUGGCACAGUGUGAAAAACUCCGGUGGUAUGAGAUGGACCCG
This 236-nucleotide ribosomal RNA is filed under the name uncultured bacterium. Its description in RNAcentral is "partial 16S ribosomal RNA". It matches the Rfam family "Bacterial small subunit ribosomal RNA", at positions 15 to 233 of the family's 1533-position model. The record is from RNAcentral.